This 864-nucleotide ribosomal RNA is filed under the name Triticum aestivum (bread wheat). RNAcentral describes it as "partial small subunit ribosomal RNA". The record is from RNAcentral. Lineage: Eukaryota; Viridiplantae; Streptophyta; Magnoliopsida; Poales; Poaceae.
AUGCGCCAAAGUGGACAAAACACUGGCCCUAAGGUCGUCGGGCUCACUGGCCUCGGCCUGUCGCGUCCUGACAUCGCCCGCAUCGUCUCCCUCACCCCCGACGGCUUCCGCACCAGAGCCAUCGUCUCCAAGCUGCACUACUACCUGCCACUCAUCGGCUCAUUGGACAACUUGCUCCGGAUGCUCAAGCUCUCAUCCCGCCUGUUGUCUUUCAACCUCGACAAGGUGGUCAAGCCCAAUGCUGCCUUCCUGAGGGAGUGCGGGCUAGGUGAUUGUGAUAUUGCCAAGCUGUGCAUCUUUGUGCCGAGGAUGCUCACCUCCAACCCGGAGCGCGUUCGGGCGAUGGUCGCAUGUGCUGAAAGAUUAGGUGUGCCGCGCGGCUCUGGGAUGCUCAGGCAAGCGCUGCAGGCCGUCGCGUUUCUCAGCGAGGAGAAGAUCGCCAGCAAAGUGGAGUAUCUGAAGAAUACAUUCAGGUGGUCUGAUGCCGAAGCAAGCAUUGCUGUCUGUAAGUAUCCGAGUCUGCUGAGGAGGUCGAAGGAAUCUCUGAAGCGUAGGUCUGAGUUCCUCUUCUCCGUGGUGGGGUUGGAACCGGCGUACAUUGCUCAUCGGCCGAUGAUUCUCAGUCUUAGCCUGGAGGGCCGACUCAGUCCCAGGUACUAUGUUAUCAAGUUCCUUAAGGCAAAUGGAUUGCUAGGUCAGUACAGGGACUUCUAUAAUAUAGUCACCCUGAGCGAGAAGGCAUUUCUGGAGAAGUUCAUAUGCCCUCACAAGGAAGCUGCACCGCACCUCGCUGAAGACUAUGCAAAUGCUUGCAAAGGGUCAUGCCGACUAAUUUCAGGUUUACAUGAACCAAGAAUAGCCUAA